Molecule: ribosomal RNA, 357 nt
Filed under: Eukaryota sp.
Lineage: Eukaryota
Description: SSU rRNA
Rfam family: Eukaryotic small subunit ribosomal RNA
Source: RNAcentral
CUCGAUAACGAACGAGACCUUAACCUGCUAACUAGUCAGUCUGGCUACGGCUGGACUCUGACUUCUUAGAGGGACUAUCAGCGUCUAGCUGAUGGAAGUUUGAGGCAAUAACAGGUCUGUGAUGCCCUUAGAUGUUCUGGGCCGCACGCGCGCUACACUGACAGAGCCAGCGAGUUCUUUAUUCCUUGGCCGGAAGGCUCUGGGUAAUCUUGUGAAACUCUGUCGUGCUGGGGAUAGAGCACUGCAAUUAUUGCUCUUCAACGAGGAAUUCCUAGUAAGCGUGAGUCAUCAGCUCGCGUUGAUUACGUCCCUGCCCUUUGUACACACCGCCCGUCGCUAAUACCGAUUGAAUGGAUG